Long non-coding RNA from Danaus plexippus (monarch butterfly), 554 nucleotides. RefSeq lists it as uncharacterized. NCBI's taxonomy places the organism in Eukaryota, Metazoa, Arthropoda, Insecta, Lepidoptera, Nymphalidae. The transcript has 3 exons. The record is from RefSeq and is a predicted model, not a curated record.
UUUAUGAAGAAAAGGACCAGUGUAGGGUCGACUUGGAAACCUUGCGGUACGCCCGAAUAAACAAAAAAUAUUUGUGAAAUUAAACCAUUUACUUCGAUUUCUGGCAAUCGGUCUUUCAGGGUGGCCAACGAGCACACAGCGCACUUGAUGUAAGGUAGUCGCCGUCGCCUAUGGACAUCUGUAAUAUAAGGAAUGUUGCGGAUGCGUUGCCGAACUUGAUUGUGGAAGUUGGAGAGGUGGUAGUCGAGGUUGCGAUGGAAAAGUAAACCAUACGUCAAAACUACCUUACUACAAGUCCCCCACUACAAAUGGAACAAACAGUUUUAUGUUUUGGUAUUCGUUAGUUACCGAAAAACGAGUAUAUCUUAUGAAAAAUUUGAAAAGUGAUAGUGUUCAGAUAGUUAAAAACAUACGUUGGAUGCGGAUGUCGCAAGUGGUACCAAACUAGGCAAAGUAGGUUCGUGAUAACAAAUUUUAUUUCAAGGUUUAUUAACAGACGUGUAAACAAUAAUUAUCAUAUUAAUUCUUUACCUUUUUUAAAUUCCUAAUAAAUU